AUGUGGUCAAGUUGUUAAGGGCGCACGGUGGAUGCCUUGGCACCAGGAGCCGAUGAAGGACGUGGGAGGCUGCGUUAAGCCUCGGGGAGCUGCCAACCGAGCGUUGAUCCGAGGAUGUCCGAAUGGGGGAACCCGGCAGCAGUCAUGUGCUGUCACCUCCGCCUGAAUAUAUAGGGCGGUUGGAGGGAACGCGGGGAAGUGAAACAUCUCAGUACCCGCAGGAAGAGAAAACAACAGUGAUUCCGUGAGUAGUGGCGAGCGAAAGCGGAUGAGGCUAAACCGUUCCCGUGGGAUACCCGGCAGGGGUUGCGGGGGCGGGGUUGUGGGGCGUGUCUGUGUCGAUGCUGCCGUGUCGGCGCGCGUUGUCCGUUGGGGUAGUCGAAGGCUCUGGGAAGGGCCGGCGUAGAAGGUGAGACCCCUGUAGGCGAAAGUCCAGCGGCGCGUGUGGGACGUGUCCCCGAGUAGCACGGGGCCCGAGAAAUCUCGUGUGAAUCUGCCAGGACCACCUGGUAAGCCUAAAUACUUCCUGGUGACCGAUAGCGGACUAGUACCGUGAGGGAAAGGUGAAAAGUACCCCGGGAGGGGAGUGAAAGAGUACCUGAAACCGUGUGCCUACAAGCCGUCGGAGCAUCCUUGUUGGUGUGACGGCGUGCCUUUUGAAGAAUGAGCCUGAGAGUUAGCGGCGUGUGGCGAGGUUAACCCGUGUGGGGAAGCCGGAGCGAAAGCGAGUCCGAAUAGGGCGUCUGUAGUCGCACGUUCUAGACCCGAAGCGGAGUGAUCUACCCAUGGGCAGGGUGAAGCGCGGGUAAGACCGCGUGGAGGCCCGAACCCACCAGGGUUGAAAACCUGGGGGAUGACCUGUGGGUAGGGGUGAAAGGCCAAUCAAACUCCGUGAUAGCUGGUUCUCCCCGAAAUGCAUUUAGGUGCAGCGUCGCGUGUUUCUUGCCGGAGGUAGAGCUACUGGAUAGCCUAGGGGCCCUACAAGGUUACUGAAGUUAGCCAAACUCCGAAUGCCGGUAAGUUCAAGCGCGGCAGUGAGACGGCGGGUGAUAAGAUUCGUCGUCGAGAGGGAAACAGCCCAGACCACCAGCUAAGGCCCCUAAGCGCGCGCUAAGUGGGAAAGGAUGUGGAGUCGCACAGACAACCAGGAGGUUGGCUUAGAAGCAGCCACCCUUGAAAGAGUGCGUAAUAGCUCACUGGUCAAGUGAUUCCGCGCCGACAAUGUAGCGGGGCUCAAGCGCGCCGCCGAAGCUGUGGCAUUCCCGUGUUAACCCCAGCAUGUAUGUGUUCAGGGGCGGGGAUGGGUAGGGGAGCGUCGUGCCGUGGGUGAAGCAGCGCUGGAAGGUAGCUGUGGACGCGGCACGAGUGAGAAUUCAGGCAUGAGUAGCGAAAGAAGGGUGAGAAUCCCUUCCGCCGGAUGACCAAGGGUUCCUGGGCCAGGCUGUUCCGCCCAGGGUGAGUCGGGGCCUAAGGCGAGGCCGACAGGCGUAGUCGAUGGAUAACGGGUUGAUAUUCCCGUACCCGCUGUGAUGCGCCCAUGCUGAAUCCAGUGAUGCUAAGCCCUCUCAACGUGUGGAUCCUUCGGGUGAUGCGCGGGCGGACGGUGACCCGAUCUGGUAGUAGGCAAGCGAUGGGGUGACGCAGGAAGGUAGCCCAUCCCGGGCGAUGGUUGUCCCGGGGUAAGGAUGUAGGGCGUGCGGUAGGUAAAUCCGCCGCGCACUGAGCCUGAGAUCUGAUGCCGAGCCGAUUGUGGCGAAGUGGGUGAUCCUAUGCUGCCUAGAAAAGCCUCUAGUGAGUGUCACGGCGGCCCGUACCCCAAACCGACACAGGUGGUCAGGUAGAGAAUACCAAGGCGAUCGAGCGAACCGUGGUCAAGGAACUCGGCAAAAUGCCCCCGUAACUUCGGGAGAAGGGGGGCCUCGUCUGGUGAUAGGCCUUGCGUCUUGAGCUGGGUGGGGCCGCAGAGACCAGUGAGAAGCGACUGUUUACUAAAAACACAGGUCCGUGCCAAGUCGCAAGACGAUGUAUACGGACUGACGCCUGCCCGGUGCUGGAACGUUAAGGGGACCGGUUAGCUCUUCGGGGCGAAGCUGAGAACUUAAGCGCCAGUAAACGGCGGUGGUAACUAUAACCAUCCUAAGGUAGCGAAAUUCCUUGUCGGGUAAGUUCCGACCUGCACGAAUGGCGUAACGACUUCUCAGCUGUCUCGACCACGGACUCGGCGAAAUUGCACUACGAGUAAAGAUGCUCGUUACGCGCAGCAGGACGGAAAGACCCCGGGACCUUCACUACAGCUUGAUAUUGGUGGUCGGCUCGGCUUGUGUAGGAUAGGUGGGAGCCUGUGAAGCCCGGACGCCAGUUCGGGUGGAGGCGACGUUGAAAUACCACUCUGGUCGUGCUGGCUGUCUAACUUGGGCCCGUGAUCCGGGUCAGGGACAGUGUCUGGUGGGUAGUUUAACUGGGGCGGUUGCCUCCCAAAAGGUAACGGAGGCGCCCAAAGGUUCCCUCAGCCUGGUCGGCAACCAGGUGUCGAGUGCAAGUGCACAAGGGGGCUUGACUGUGAGACCGACAGGUCGAGCAGGAGCGAAAGCUGGGACUAGUGAUCCGGCGGUGGCUUGUGGAAGCGCCGUCGCUCAACGGAUAAAAGGUACCCCGGGGAUAACAGGCUGAUCUUGCCCAAGAGUCCAUAUCGACGGCAAGGUUUGGCACCUCGAUGUCGGCUCGUCGCAUCCUGGGGCUGGAGUAGGUCCCAAGGGUUGGGCUGUUCGCCCAUUAAAGCGGUACGCGAGCUGGGUUUAGAACGUCGUGAGACAGUUCGGUCCCUAUCCGCUGCGCGCGUUGGAGACUUGUGAAGGGCUGUCCCUAGUACGAGAGGACCGGGACGGACGAACCUCUGGUGUGCCAGUUGUACCGCCAGGUGCAUGGCUGGUUGGCUACGUUCGGAAGGGAUAACCGCUGAAAGCAUCUAAGCGGGAAGCCUGCUUCAAGAUGAGGUCUCCCACCCCUUCGAGGGGGUAAGGCCCCCAGCAGACCACUGGGUUGAUAGGCCGGACGUGGAAGCACUGCAAGGUGUGUAGCGGACCGGUACUAAUAGGCCGAGGGCUUGACUA
Molecule: ribosomal RNA, 3110 nt
Filed under: Motilibacter peucedani
Lineage: Bacteria; Bacillati; Actinomycetota; Actinomycetes; Motilibacterales; Motilibacteraceae
Description: bacterial LSU rRNA
Rfam family: Bacterial large subunit ribosomal RNA
Source: RNAcentral